CCUACGGGCGGCAGCAGUGGGGAAUUUUGCGCAAUGCUCGUAAGAGUGACGCAGCGACGCCACGUGAAUGACGAAGGCCUUCGGGUCGUAAAGUUCUUUCGACAGGGAAGAAAAUGCCUAUAAGUAACUGUGUAUGUAUUGACGGUACCUGUAUAAGAAGCCCCGGCUAACUCCGUGCCAGCAGCCGGGGUAAUACGGAGGGGGCGAGCGUGGUUCGGAGUGAGUGGGCGUAAAGAGCACGUAGGGGGUGUGGUAAGUCAUAAGUCAAAGACUGGGGCUAAAUUUUGGGAAUGCUGGGGAAACUGUGAGACUGGAGUGCAAGAGAGGUGAGCGGAAUUCCUGGUGUAGGGGUGAAAUGCGGAGAUAGCAGGAGGAACA
Molecule: ribosomal RNA, 378 nt
Filed under: uncultured bacterium
Lineage: Bacteria
Description: partial 16S ribosomal RNA
Rfam family: Bacterial small subunit ribosomal RNA
Source: RNAcentral